CAGAUUUAAGGAAACGUGGUCGCGCGGGUCGCUGAGCGAGAUGACUGGGUGUGGCAAAGAUUGCGCCCAGAUAAAGAAGUCAGACUCGCACUCGGUAGUAAGUGAUGGGCGAAAAACGGCAAGGCCAACAGGAAGGGGCAUUUUUGUUAUCGAAAAGCCCUUGAAGCAACUAAAGCUAAAGAACAUUAGGUUAGCGAAAAGGCAUUUGGCUCGCUCAGAAGGUCUGUUUGGGUGUUUCCUGUUUGCAGGGCAGCACCUGUUGUACUGUUCCUGCCUAUAGACGUUUACCCUCACACCUCCAUUUUCAAAAACAUUUUUUUGGCAUGGAGAAUUUGUUGGUGAUUUGGCUGGCCAGAGUAUCUACAAGAUAUCAGGAACAAGGGAAAGGAAGGCACCAAAGUUAAAGCUAAGAGUUAAGUCUGAAUAUCUACUUUUCUAGAUUCUAGUGUAAAUAGUCUAGGUUUCAGGAUCGGGACAUGAAUCUCCGUGUGACUGAAAUGAACCACCUGUUGUCUUCAAAUGGAAGUGAAGAAAAGGUCGAGCUUUUCCUGGCUCCUGGAAUGCCCUCCCCCA
Molecule: non-coding RNA, 573 nt
Organism: Ceratotherium simum simum (southern white rhinoceros)
Lineage: Eukaryota; Metazoa; Chordata; Mammalia; Perissodactyla; Rhinocerotidae
Source: RefSeq, a predicted model, not a curated record